AUCCAACUGACGAGUUCUAACUAAAACGAAACGCGCGUUCUGGAU
This 45-nucleotide non-coding RNA is filed under the name Schistosoma mansoni. Lineage: Eukaryota; Metazoa; Platyhelminthes; Trematoda; Strigeidida; Schistosomatidae. The record is from RNAcentral.